Molecule: ribosomal RNA, 274 nt
Filed under: uncultured bacterium
Lineage: Bacteria
Description: partial 16S ribosomal RNA
Rfam family: Bacterial small subunit ribosomal RNA
Source: RNAcentral
AUACGGAGGGUGCAAGCGUUAAUCGGAAUUACUGGGCGUAAAGCGCGCGUAGGCGGCUUGAUAAGUCGGAUGUGAAAUCCCCGGGCUCAACCUGGGAAUUGCAUUCGAUACUGUCAGGCUAGAGUGUGGUAGAGGGAAGUGGAAUUUCCGGUGUAGCGGUGAAAUGCGUAGAUAUCGGAAAGAACACCAGUGGCGAAGGCGGCUUCCUGGACCAACACUGACGCUGAGGUGCGAAAGCGUGGGGAGCAAACAGGAUUAGAUACCCCAGUAGUCC